CUUCACCGACCCCAGCAGCAGCGGCCGUUCCCGGUCCUGACCAUAGGCCGCCAGGAUCGCCUGCGCCUC
This is a non-coding RNA of Streptomyces griseoruber, 69 nucleotides long. Lineage: Bacteria; Bacillati; Actinomycetota; Actinomycetes; Kitasatosporales; Streptomycetaceae. The record is from Rfam.